GUCCACGCCGUAAACGAUGUCUACUAGCCGUUGGGUUCCUUGAGGACUUAGUGGCGCAGCUAACGCAAUAAGUAGACCGCCUGGGGAGUACGGUCGCAAGAUUAAAACUCAAAUGAAUUGACGGGGGCCCGCACAAGCGGUGGAGCAUGUGGUUUAAUUCGACGCAACGCGAAGAACCUUACCAGGUCUUGACAUCCAGAGAAUUUUCCAGAGAUGGAUUAGUGCCUUCGGGAGCUCUGAGACAGGUGCUGCAUGGCUGUCGU
This 263-nucleotide ribosomal RNA is filed under the name uncultured bacterium. RNAcentral's name for it is "partial 16S ribosomal RNA". It matches the Rfam family "Bacterial small subunit ribosomal RNA", at positions 793 to 1055 of the family's 1533-position model. The record is from RNAcentral.